CUGGUCUUGACAUCCACGGAAGUUUUCAGAGAUGAGAAUGUGCCUUCGGGAACCGUGAGACAGGUGCUGCAUGGCUGUCGUCAGCUCGUGUUGUGAAAUGUUGGGUUAAGUCCCGCAACGAGCGCAACCCCUGUCUCUAGUUGCUACCAUUAAGUUGAGCACUCUAGAGAGACUGCCCGUGUUAAACGGGAGGAAGGUGGGGACGACGUCAAGUCCUCAUGGCCCUUAUGUCCAGGGCUACACACGUGCUACAAUGGGCGGUACAAAGGGCUGCGAACCCGUGAGGGGAAGCCAAUCCCAAAAAGCCGCUCUCAGUUCGGAUUGGAGUCUGCAACUCGACUCCAUGAAGGCGGAAUCGCUAGUAAUCGCGGAUCAGCACGCCGCGGUGAAUACGUUCCC
This 399-nucleotide ribosomal RNA is filed under the name uncultured Alphaproteobacteria bacterium. Its description in RNAcentral is "bacterial SSU rRNA". It matches the Rfam family "Bacterial small subunit ribosomal RNA", at positions 975 to 1375 of the family's 1533-position model. Lineage: Bacteria; Pseudomonadati; Pseudomonadota; Alphaproteobacteria. The record is from RNAcentral.